AGGUGGUGGCCUGGGCGUCGACUGCUCUGGUAGACGUGGACGCGGGUGGUGUCGGGGGUGCGGUGCUUCCUGCUGACGUGGCCGCUGCUGGUGCGUGGAGUGACGAGGGGGCCGUACGGACGCCUGGUGGUGAACGACGUCCGAAGUGCGGGUGCACGUGAUAGCCGCGUAAACAGAGCGUAGCUUCUCCUCCAUUCGUCUAAGCCAGGACCGGUGCGGCUCCCGUGGUAGUAGAAGUGGACCGGUCGAAAGCAAACGUCCAUACGCAGCGAACUCGGCCUGUAAAUCCUGUGUCAACUGAGCCUGCAAUUGGCACGAAGAGUAUUACAUAUAUAUGGCAAAGUACGUAACAAACACAUGCAUUAUGUUAAGAGAAGAUACUUACCGCGUGCUGUCUAGAGCCUGAAGUAGACUGACUAGGGUACAUAUCUUGCAAACUCGGCUCGGCUAUCUCCUGGGGGUGAGAGUGCUGAAUGAUGGUCAAUCGGGUAGCUGUCAUGUACCUCUGCAAAUAUCCGUUGAAUAGAUCGAGAUCAAAGGCCGCCAAUGGCCAAACCUGUGUCGUCGCAGUCUCCCACUCUGUGACGUACGACUGAACCCUCUGCAGCCACUGAGUCUGGGUCCUGGUACUU
Molecule: long non-coding RNA, 632 nt
Filed under: Brachypodium distachyon (stiff brome)
Lineage: Eukaryota; Viridiplantae; Streptophyta; Magnoliopsida; Poales; Poaceae
Description: long non-coding RNA (BDIS_LNC000808)
Source: RNAcentral